Molecule: ribosomal RNA, 199 nt
Filed under: uncultured bacterium
Lineage: Bacteria
Description: partial 16S ribosomal RNA
Rfam family: Bacterial small subunit ribosomal RNA
Source: RNAcentral
ACUCCUACGGGAGGCAGCAGUGGCGUAAUUUUGGACAAUGGGCGCAAGCCUGAUCCAGCCAUUCCGCGUGCAGGAUGAAGGCCCUCGGGUUGUAAACUGCUUUUGUACGGAACGAAACGCGCCGGGUUAAUACCCCGGCGUAAUGACGGUACCGUAAGAAUAAGCACCGGCUAACUACGUGCCAGCAGCCGCGGUAAUA